RNAcentral lists this small nucleolar RNA (103 nucleotides) under Nannospalax galili (Upper Galilee mountains blind mole rat). RNAcentral describes it as "Small nucleolar RNA SNORA17 (ENSNGAG00000004462.1)". It matches the Rfam family "Small nucleolar RNA SNORA17", at positions 28 to 132 of the family's 132-position model. From Rfam's summary of the family: snoRNA ACA 17 belongs to the H/ACA family of snoRNAs and is predicted to guide pseudouridylation of the 28S rRNA at positions U4659 and U4598. It shares the same host gene together with ACA43. The record is from RNAcentral. Lineage: Eukaryota; Metazoa; Chordata; Mammalia; Rodentia; Spalacidae.
GCUGCCAUGUCACAUGUGUGUCAGUAGGUGGCAGAGAGGAGAGAGGCUAUGUCUAUGCUAUGUUCUUACCAGUGAACAUCUGAAUGAUCAGUAGCCUGAUAGU